This 597-nucleotide ribosomal RNA is filed under the name uncultured Actinomycetes bacterium. RNAcentral describes it as "bacterial SSU rRNA". It matches the Rfam family "Bacterial small subunit ribosomal RNA", at positions 251 to 862 of the family's 1533-position model. The record is from RNAcentral. Lineage: Bacteria; Bacillati; Actinomycetota; Actinomycetes.
GGAGAGGUAACGGCUCACCAAGGCAUCGACGGGUAGCUGGUCUGAGAGGACGAUCAGCCACACUGGGACUGAGACACGGCCCAGACUCCUACGGGAGGCAGCAGUAGGGAAUCUUGCGCAAUGGGCGAAAGCCUGACGCAGCAACGCCGCGUGAGGGAUGAAGGCCUUCGGGUCGUAAACCCCCUUCAGCAGGGACGAAAAUGACGGUACCUGCAGAAGAAGGUCCGGCCAACUACGUGCCAGCAGCCGCGGUAAUACGUAGGGACCAAGCGUUGUCCGGAAUUAUUGGGCGUAAAGAGCUCGUAGGCGGUUCGGUAAGUCGGGUGUGAAAAUCCAGGGCUCAACCCUGGGACGCCACCCGAUACUGCUGUGACUAGAGUCCGGUAGAGGAGCGUGGAAUUCCUGGUGUAGCGGUGAAAUGCGCAGAUAUCAGGAGGAACACCAGCGGCGAAGGCGGCGCUCUGGGCCGGUACUGACGCUGAGGAGCGAAAGCAUGGGGAGCAAACAGGAUUAGAUACCCUGGUAGUCCAUGCCGUAAACGGUGGGCACUAGGUAUGGGACCCUAUCAACGAGUUCCGUGCCGUAGCUAACGCAUUA